This 465-nucleotide ribosomal RNA is filed under the name uncultured bacterium. RNAcentral describes it as "bacterial SSU rRNA". It matches the Rfam family "Bacterial small subunit ribosomal RNA", at positions 198 to 644 of the family's 1533-position model. The record is from RNAcentral.
GGAGGAAAGUAGGGGAUCGAAAGACCUUAUGCUUUUGGAGCGGCCGAUGUCUGAUUAGCUAGUUGGUAAGGUAAAGGCUUACCAAGGCAACGAUCAGUAGUUGGUCUGAGAGGACGACCAGCCACACUGGGACUGAGACACGGCCCAGACUCCUACGGGAGGCAGCAGUGGGGAAUUUUGGACAAUGGGCGCAAGCCUGAUCCAGCAAUGCCGCGUGAGUGAAGAAGGCCUUCGGGUUGUAGAGCUCUUUCAGUCGAGAAGAAAAGAUCGUGACUAAUAAUCAUGAUUCAUGACGGUAUCGACAGAAGAAGCACCGGCUAACUACGUGCCAGCAGCCGCGGUAAUACGUAGGGUGCAAGCGUUAAUCGGAAUUACUGGGCGUAAAGGGUGCGCAGGCGGUUCUGCAAGUCAGAUGUGAAAUCCCCGGGCUUAACCUGGGAACUGCGUUUGAAACUACAAAGCUAG